UUAAGCGACUAAGCGUACACGGUGGAUGCCCUGGCAGUCAGAGGCGAUGAAGGACGUGCUAAUCUGCGAUAAGCGUCGGUAAGGUGAUAUGAACCGUUAUAACCGGCGAUUUCCGAAUGGGGAAACCCAGUGUGUUUCGACACACUAUCAUUAACUGAAUCCAUAGGUUAAUGAGGCGAACCGGGGGAACUGAAACAUCUAAGUACCCCGAGGAAAAGAAAUCAACCGAGAUUCCCCCAGUAGCGGCGAGCGAACGGGGAGCAGCCCAGAGCCUGAAUCAGUGUGUGUGUUAGUGGAAGCGUCUGGAAAGGCGCGCGAUACAGGGUGACAGCCCCGUACACAAAAAUGCACAUACUGUGAGCUCGAUGAGUAGGGCGGGACACGUGGUAUCCUGUCUGAAUAUGGGGGGACCAUCCUCCAAGGCUAAAUACUCCUGACUGACCGAUAGUGAACCAGUACCGUGAGGGAAAGGCGAAAAGAACCCCGGCGAGGGGAGUGAAAAAGAACCUGAAACCGUGUACGUACAAGCAGUGGGAGCCUCUUUUAUGGGGUGACUGCGUACCUUUUGUAUAAUGGGUCAGCGACUUAUAUUCUGUAGCAAGGUUAACCGAAUAGGGGAGCCGAAGGGAAACCGAGUCUUAACCGGGCGUUAAGUUGCAGGGUAUAGACCCGAAACCCGGUGAUCUAGCCAUGGGCAGGUUGAAGGUUGGGUAACACUAACUGGAGGACCGAACCGACUAAUGUUGAAAAAUUAGCGGAUGACUUGUGGCUGGGGGUGAAAGGCCAAUCAAACCGGGAGAUAGCUGGUUCUCCCCGAAAGCUAUUUAGGUAGCGCCUCGUGAAUUCAUCUCCGGGGGUAGAGCACUGUUUCGGCAAGGGGGUCAUCCCGACUUACCAACCCGAUGCAAACUGCGAAUACCGGAGAAUGUUAUCACGGGAGACACACGGCGGGUGCUAACGUCCGUCGUGAAGAGGGAAACAACCCAGACCGCCAGCUAAGGUCCCAAAGUCAUGGUUAAGUGGGAAACGAUGUGGGAAGGCCCAGACAGCCAGGAUGUUGGCUUAGAAGCAGCCAUCAUUUAAAGAAAGCGUAAUAGCUCACUGGUCGAGUCGGCCUGCGCGGAAGAUGUAACGGGGCUAAACCAUGCACCGAAGCUGCGGCAGCGACACUGUGUGUUGUUGGGUAGGGGAGCGUUCUGUAAGCCUGUGAAGGUGUACUGUAAGGUAUGCUGGAGGUAUCAGAAGUGCGAAUGCUGACAUAAGUAACGAUAAAGCGGGUGAAAAGCCCGCUCGCCGGAAGACCAAGGGUUCCUGUCCAACGUUAAUCGGGGCAGGGUGAGUCGACCCCUAAGGCGAGGCCGAAAGGCGUAGUCGAUGGGAAACAGGUUAAUAUUCCUGUACUUGGUGUUACUGCGAAGGGGGGACGGAGAAGGCUAUGUUGGCCGGGCGACGGUUGUCCCGGUUUAAGCGUGUAGGCUGGUUUUCCAGGCAAAUCCGGAAAAUCAAGGCUGAGGCGUGAUGACGAGGCACUACGGUGCUGAAGCAACAAAUGCCCUGCUUCCAGGAAAAGCCUCUAAGCAUCAGGUAACAUCAAAUCGUACCCCAAACCGACACAGGUGGUCAGGUAGAGAAUACCAAGGCGCUUGAGAGAACUCGGGUGAAGGAACUAGGCAAAAUGGUGCCGUAACUUCGGGAGAAGGCACGCUGAUAUGUAGGUGAAGUCCCUCGCGGAUGGAGCUGAAAUCAGUCGAAGAUACCAGCUGGCUGCAACUGUUUAUUAAAAACACAGCACUGUGCAAACACGAAAGUGGACGUAUACGGUGUGACGCCUGCCCGGUGCCGGAAGGUUAAUUGAUGGGGUCAGCGCAAGCGAAGCUCUUGAUCGAAGCCCCGGUAAACGGCGGCCGUAACUAUAACGGUCCUAAGGUAGCGAAAUUCCUUGUCGGGUAAGUUCCGACCUGCACGAAUGGCGUAAUGAUGGCCAGGCUGUCUCCACCCGAGACUCAGUGAAAUUGAACUCGCUGUGAAGAUGCAGUGUACCCGCGGCAAGACGGAAAGACCCCGUGAACCUUUACUAUAGCUUGACACUGAACAUUGAGCCUUGAUGUGUAGGAUAGGUGGGAGGCUUUGAAGUGUGGACGCCAGUCUGCAUGGAGCCGACCUUGAAAUACCACCCUUUAAUGUUUGAUGUUCUAACGUGGACCCGUGAUCCGGGUUGCGGACAGUGUCUGGUGGGUAGUUUGACUGGGGCGGUCUCCUCCUAAAGAGUAACGGAGGAGCACGAAGGUUGGCUAAUCCUGGUCGGACAUCAGGAGGUUAGUGCAAUGGCAUAAGCCAGCUUGACUGCGAGCGUGACGGCGCGAGCAGGUGCGAAAGCAGGUCAUAGUGAUCCGGUGGUUCUGAAUGGAAGGGCCAUCGCUCAACGGAUAAAAGGUACUCCGGGGAUAACAGGCUGAUACCGCCCAAGAGUUCAUAUCGACGGCGGUGUUUGGCACCUCGAUGUCGGCUCAUCACAUCCUGGGGCUGAAGUAGGUCCCAAGGGUAUGGCUGUUCGCCAUUUAAAGUGGUACGCGAGCUGGGUUUAGAACGUCGUGAGACAGUUCGGUCCCUAUCUGCCGUGGGCGCUGGAGAACUGAGGGGGGCUGCUCCUAGUACGAGAGGACCGGAGUGGACGCAUCACUGGUGUUCGGGUUGUCAUGCCAAUGGCACUGCCCGGUAGCUAAAUGCGGAAGAGAUAAGUGCUGAAAGCAUCUAAGCACGAAACUUGCCCCGAGAUGAGUUCUCCCUGACCCUUUAAGGGUCCUGAAGGAACGUUGAAGACGACGACGUUGAUAGGCCGGGUGUGUAAGCGCAGCGAUGCGUUGAGCUAACCGGUACUAAUGAACCGUGAGGCUUAACCU
Molecule: ribosomal RNA, 2900 nt
Filed under: Escherichia coli O157:H7
Lineage: Bacteria; Pseudomonadati; Pseudomonadota; Gammaproteobacteria; Enterobacterales; Enterobacteriaceae
Also listed under: 1 other name
Description: 23S ribosomal RNA
Rfam family: Bacterial large subunit ribosomal RNA
Source: RNAcentral